This 486-nucleotide ribosomal RNA is filed under the name uncultured bacterium. Its description in RNAcentral is "partial 16S ribosomal RNA". It matches the Rfam family "Bacterial small subunit ribosomal RNA", at positions 29 to 507 of the family's 1533-position model. The record is from RNAcentral.
AUUGAACGCUGGCGGCAUGCUUUACACAUGCAAGUCGAGCGGCAGCGCGGGGGCAACCCUGGCGGCGAGCGGCGAACGGGUGAGUAAUGCAUCGGAACGUAUCCUCGAGUGGGGGAUAACCCAGCGAAAGUUGGGCUAAUACCGCAUGAGCUCUGAGGAGGAAAGCGGGGGACCUGCGAGGGCCUCGCGCUGGAGGAGCGGCCGAUGUCCGUUUAGCUAGUUGGUGGGGUAAAGGCUUACCAAGGCGACGAUCGGUAGCUGGUCUGAGAGGAUGAUCAGCCAAACUGGAACUGAGACACGGCCCAGACUCCUACGGGAGGCAGCAGUGGGGAAUUUUGGACAAUGGGGGCAACCCUGAUCCAGCCAUGCCGCGUGAGUGAAGAAGGCCUUCGGGUUGUAAAGCUCUUUCGGACGGAACGAAAUGGGCGGGACUAAUACUCCUGUCUGAUGACGGUACCGAAAGAAGAAGCACCGGCUAACUACGUG